GACCUGGCGGAGCUACACAUCCCAGUCUUUUNCGGUACAGAAAGUUAGCUUGCUCNCUUUGCUGACGAGCGGCGGACGGGUGAGUAAUGCUUGGGAACAUGCCUUGAGGUGGGGGACAACAGUUGGAAACGACUGCUAAUACCGCAUAAUGUCUACGGACCAAAGGGGGCUUCGGCUCUCGCCUUUAGAUUGGCCCAAGUGGGAUUAGCUAGUUGGUGAGGUAAUGGCUCACCAAGGCAACGAUCCCUAGCUGGUUUGAGAGGAUGAUCAGCCACACUGGAACUGAGACACGGUCCAGACUCCUACGGGAGGCAGCAGUGGGGAAUAUUGCACAAUGGGCGCAAGCCUGAUGCAGCCAUGCCGCGUGUGUGAAGAAGGCCUUCGGGUUGUAAAGCACUUUCAGUCAGGAGGAAAGGGUGUGAGUUAAUACCUCACAUCUGUGACGUUACUGACAGAAGAAGCACCGGCUAACUCCGUGCCAGCAGCCGCGGUAAUACGGAGGGUGCGAGCGUUAAUCGGAAUUACUGGGCGUAAAGCGUACGCAGGCGGUUUGUUAAGCGAGAUGUGAAAGCCCCGGGCUCAACCUGGGAACUGCAUUUCGAAAACCUGGGCAAAACUAGAAGUGUGAUCAGAGGGGUGGGUAAGAAAUUUUCAGGUGGUAGCCGGGUGAAAAUUGCCGUAAAGAUCUUGAAGGGAAUUACCGAUUGGCAAAGGCAAGCCACCUGGGUUCAAACAC
RNAcentral lists this ribosomal RNA (736 nucleotides) under Pseudoalteromonas sp. UST050418-827. RNAcentral's name for it is "bacterial SSU rRNA". It matches the Rfam family "Bacterial small subunit ribosomal RNA", at positions 32 to 741 of the family's 1533-position model. Lineage: Bacteria; Pseudomonadati; Pseudomonadota; Gammaproteobacteria; Alteromonadales; Pseudoalteromonadaceae. The record is from RNAcentral.